CAGCCGCCGCGGGAAUACGUAGGUGGCAAGCGUUGUCCGGAAUUAUUGGGCGUAAAGGGCUCGCAGGCGGUUUCUUAAGUCUGAUGUGAAAGCCCCCGGCUCAACCGGGGAGGGUCAUUGGAAACUGGGAAACUUAAGUGCAGAAGAGGAGAGUGGAAUUCCACGUGUAGCGGUGAAAUGCGUAGAGAUGUGGAGGAACGCCAGUGGCGAAGGCGACUCUCUGGUCUGUAACUGACGCUGAGGAGCGAAAGCGUGGGGAGCGAACAGGAUUAGAUACCCCUGUAGUCCCUGUCUCUUAUAC
This 301-nucleotide ribosomal RNA is filed under the name uncultured bacterium. RNAcentral describes it as "partial 16S ribosomal RNA". It matches the Rfam family "Bacterial small subunit ribosomal RNA", at positions 509 to 807 of the family's 1533-position model. The record is from RNAcentral.